Molecule: long non-coding RNA, 766 nt
Organism: Populus euphratica (Euphrates poplar)
Lineage: Eukaryota; Viridiplantae; Streptophyta; Magnoliopsida; Malpighiales; Salicaceae
Exons: 2
Source: RefSeq, a predicted model, not a curated record
CGAAGAAAGACAUUCAAAGUAGUUAGAACAUAGCCAAUUAUCUCCUGAAACCCCUCACGUCAUUUCCUUCUAUUCAUAUUAAGUCAACGAAAUGAUUAUUGCUCCUUGUUUAGUCGGCAUUGUAUCUUUCAGAGGCUUUUAAAGAGAUCAAAUUGGAUACCAAUUUUCACAAAUAAUUGAAGCCUCAAACGCGAAACAACCAUCUGGACUAACAAUGAACGCCACUUAAGACUCAAUUGGGAAUUAGAAAGAGACUUCAGAAAUCAUAAAGGGAGGUUUUUCGUUUUUUUUCCUUUUUUUUUGGAACGAGGGGCCAAUGCAGUAAAAUUUACAAAUAGCAACACCAACACCACAUAAAUGCCUACAGAACAUUAUAAAUAACAAAAGUAUAGAGCCGAAUCACAUGCCCUUCAAGAUCUAAAAAACAAAAGAAUCAUCAAAUCUUCCAACACUUUUCACCGUACAGUUACACCAAACUACAUCCACCACUCCAUCAUAGAUUCCUAAGCCUUUUAGGUUGUAAUUUUACUCUAUAUUCAGUAACUGGCAAGCAGAUUCAAGCAUUAAUUGCUUAAUAACCAUAUAUCCACCGUCAAUUUGACAGCCACAGAACCCCAUGCAAUGCAAACCAAAACCCGUACUGCAAAACAAAUCCCAAAUCUAAAAAUACUAGUCUCAAUAUUACUUCUCUCUAGUCAAAUCAAAGGCAUUCCAAAACCAAAUUGCUAGUAAGAACCCAAACAGACUUGACACUAGCACUAGUAUU